GCAGCGAUGUCCGAGUGGUUAAGGAGUUUGACUAGAAACCAAAUGGGCUCUGCCCGCAUAGCUUCGAAUCCUGUUCGCAGCG
Toxocara canis (dog roundworm) is the source of this 82-nucleotide transfer RNA. It matches the Rfam family "tRNA". From Rfam's summary of the family: Transfer RNA (tRNA) molecules are approximately 80 nucleotides in length. NCBI's taxonomy places the organism in Eukaryota, Metazoa, Nematoda, Chromadorea, Rhabditida, Toxocaridae. The record is from Rfam.